UACGUAGGGGGCUAGCGUUGUCCCGGAUUUAUUGGGCGUAAAGAGCGUGUAGGCGGCCAGGUAGGUCUGCUGUGAAAACUCGAGGCUCAACCUCGAGAUGUCGGCGGAAACCAUCUGGCUAGAGUCCGGAAGAGGAGAGUGAAUUCCUGGUGUAGCGGUGAAAUGCGCAGAUAUCAGGAAGAACACCCGUGGCGAAGGCGGCUCUCUGGGACGGUACUGACGCUGAGACGCGAAAGCGUGGGGAGC
RNAcentral lists this ribosomal RNA (246 nucleotides) under uncultured bacterium. RNAcentral's name for it is "partial 16S ribosomal RNA". It matches the Rfam family "Bacterial small subunit ribosomal RNA", at positions 524 to 769 of the family's 1533-position model. The record is from RNAcentral.